Molecule: RNA transcript, 840 nt
Organism: Osmia bicornis bicornis
Lineage: Eukaryota; Metazoa; Arthropoda; Insecta; Hymenoptera; Megachilidae
Exons: 2
Source: RefSeq, a predicted model, not a curated record
CAUCAUUUUCGAGUAGAACCAUUUUGCUAAGUACACAUAUGUUUUAAAAUUUGUCGAUGUACUAUCAUACAAACAGUACUUGAUCAUCAUUCUAAAUGACAAUCACCAUGACGUGCGAGCUAAUCCUUAUGGAGAACCUACAUGUAACGACCGAAUGCUUUUAAGCUGUAUGGGUGUAUAUACAAUUCAAUUUAAUGAAAUUUCAUUAAUUAUUUAACAUAAUAUGUAUUUUUAUUCGUAAUUUUAAAAAAAGGGAACCCUAGCACCACGUAUUACAAAAUAAUUUUCCUUCUUAAAAUUUUAGGGAUGUAAUACAUUUGCGGUUUGUAAAAAGUAUGAAACUUAUAUAAAUAAAAGUCAAAACAUGUGCUUACGAAAAUAUUUUGUUACGUGAAAGAAAAAUAAUACAAUAUCAUAAUGAAUAAUACGAGUUUGCAUAUAAAAAUUUGUGAAAGUGACAAGUGUAUUUAUACACUUAACAUUAAUAACAUUGCAACAAAUACAAAUAUUUGAAUGGCUUCAUCUCUCUUGCUUGAAGGAACACAAAUUGAAAUUAAUGAUUUUUUAACUAGUCUUGUGGAAAAACAAAUAGCUCGGUGAAUAUUAAAAAUCGGCUAACGUCAGAAAACGAGUCGGAUUUUGAAGAGGAGAUUGAAAUUAACUCUAAGAAGUCUAAAUUGACCAAUUAAUAAUUUAAAUACUAUAUUUUCAACUUUAUAUGUAUAGUUGUACCAUUAUUUUAUAAUGUAGUAAAUUUACUUGUAUUGAGAACUAUUGACAACUGUAUUCGAACAAUUGUGAUGGUUAAAAGCAUCGAAAUAAAUGAAAUAUCAUUAUGAA